Long non-coding RNA from Fundulus heteroclitus (mummichog), 337 nucleotides. RefSeq lists it as uncharacterized. NCBI's taxonomy places the organism in Eukaryota, Metazoa, Chordata, Actinopteri, Cyprinodontiformes, Fundulidae. The transcript is spliced from 3 exons. The record is from RefSeq and is a predicted model, not a curated record.
CAGCUCGGUUAGGAACAGUGAACAAAUCUGGAGGGAGGAAACGACACAAUGAAGAAACGUUUAACAAAAUGGUCUCAGAAGAUGGCUCUGAAGAACCAGCAGCAGGAUUAUUGCUUUAAAGAACCACCCAAGUUGUGGAGGGCUGCUCAAUGUAGCCCAAACCUAACCCAGUGUAACCCUGUGGAGGAUACUGGGAAGGACAAAGAAGACUGGAUCACUUUGGAUAUUUAAACCAAGUUUAAAUAUUUGCAUGUUGGUAAAGAUGUGAUAAAACUGACUGUAUAAUAAUCUAAUAUCAAACUCCUUGCAAUUUAGCAUUUCUAUAUGUAAAAUAAAA